Molecule: long non-coding RNA, 744 nt
Organism: Ostrinia nubilalis (European corn borer)
Lineage: Eukaryota; Metazoa; Arthropoda; Insecta; Lepidoptera; Crambidae
Exons: 3
Source: RefSeq, a predicted model, not a curated record
UUUUGGCCGACAUCGUUAUGAAUAUUUGUUAGAAAUUAUGAAAUCGUUCGCUGAUCUCACGUUAGUUUAUUUUAGCAUUAGUUUUACCUUAGAAUUUUGUGUAGAUUGUCUUAGUCAAAGUUUUUUGUAUGAGAAAAUGCACAAUUUUGGUAUUGGAAAUCGAGUGAUUCCAAACUAUCGUCGUUUCAUAAAAAAGUACGAGUACCCUGAGCCAUUGCCGUCGACCACACAUUCCCCAGAUAUCUUAAAGUCUCCCUUCAAGAACCUGUACCAAGGCUCCAGAAGGCCGAAUGACACGAGGGUCUACAGGAGGAAGUUCGAAUUUGCCGCCCAGCAUACUGGCCACCACGUGCUUUGUGAAGGGAUGUUUGAUUGUAUUAUAACCCACUUAGCCAUCGAAACCACCGGUGGUAUACCUAUCCUGCUGCGUGGAGGCGCAGGCUACCGGUACUUCGUGACGGUGACGAAGGGGAAGCCAGGAGACGAGCUGAAGGGAACCGUGCGGGCGUACUGCGUGAAGAAACCAGAUGAAUAUUAUUUGAGUUCACAUAACUCCCCGUAGCGAUAUCUCCAGGGUUUAGAAAUAGCGUCAACAUGAAAAUGCACUUCGGUUUUAUCAAAACAUGCGUGAAUUAGUAUUGAUGCACGAGUGAUAUGACUGUUUCAAACCUAGAUAUUCCCGCUAGGUAUUUGUUUGUAAGACAACUGCUGAGUGUCAAGUGUAGAUAGAGCAGAAAUGAGUAA